This 542-nucleotide ribosomal RNA is filed under the name uncultured bacterium. RNAcentral describes it as "partial 16S ribosomal RNA". It matches the Rfam family "Bacterial small subunit ribosomal RNA", at positions 355 to 889 of the family's 1533-position model. The record is from RNAcentral.
UGGGGAAUUUUGGACAAUGGGCGAANCCUGAUCCAGCAAUGCCGCGUGUGUGAAGAAGGCCUUCGGGUUGUAAAGCACUUUUGUCCGGAAAGAAAAUCCUUGGCUCUAAUACAGUCGGGGGAUGACGGUACCGGAAGAAUAAGCACCGGCUAACUACGUGCCAGCAGCCGCGGUAAUACGUAGGGUGCAAGCGUUAAUCGGAAUUACUGGGCGUAAAGCGUGCGCAGGCGGUUUGCUAAGACCGAUGUGAAAUCCCCGGGCUCAACCUGGGAACUGCAUUGGUGACUGGCAGGCUAGAGUAUGGCAGAGGGGGGUAGAAUUCCACGUGUAGCAGUGAAAAUGCGUAGAGAUGUGGAGGAAUACCGAUGGCGAAGGCAGCCCCCCUGGGCCAAUACUGACGCUCAUGCACGAAAGCGUGGGGAGCAAACAGGAUUAGAUACCCUGGUAGUCCACGCCCUAAAACGAUGUCAACUAGUUGUGGGGAUUCAUUCCUUAGUAACGUAGCUAACGCGUGAAGUUGACCGCCUGGGGAGUACGGUCGC